GAGUUUGAUCGUGGCUCAGAACGAACGCUGGCGGCAUGCCUAACACAUGCAAGUCGAACGGGAUCCAGGCUUCGGCCUGGUGAGAGUGGCGGACGGGUGAGUAACGCGUGGGAACCUGCCCAAUGGUCUGGGAUAACCGCGGGAAACUGCGGCUAAUACCGGAUAAGCCCGAGAGGGGAAAGAUUUAUCGCCGAUGGAGGGGCCCGCGUCCGAUUAGGUAGUUGGUGGGUAAUGGCCUACCAAGCCUACGAUCGGUAGCUGGUCUGAGAGGAUGAUCAGCCACACUGGGACUGAGAUACGGCCCAGACUCCUACGGGAGGCAGCAGUGGGGAAUAUUGGACAAUGGGGGCAACCCUGAUCCAGCAAUGCCGCGUGAGUGAUGAAGGCCUUAGGGUUGUAAAGCUCUUUUGGCGGGGACGAAUGAUGACGGUACCCGCAGAAUAAGCCCCGGCUAACUUCGUGCCAG
This 466-nucleotide ribosomal RNA is filed under the name uncultured Alphaproteobacteria bacterium. RNAcentral's name for it is "bacterial SSU rRNA". It matches the Rfam family "Bacterial small subunit ribosomal RNA", at positions 9 to 511 of the family's 1533-position model. The record is from RNAcentral. Lineage: Bacteria; Pseudomonadati; Pseudomonadota; Alphaproteobacteria.